RNAcentral lists this ribosomal RNA (468 nucleotides) under uncultured bacterium. Its description in RNAcentral is "partial 16S ribosomal RNA". It matches the Rfam family "Bacterial small subunit ribosomal RNA", at positions 28 to 507 of the family's 1533-position model. The record is from RNAcentral.
GACGAACGCUGGCGGCGUGCUUAACACAUGCAAGUCGAACGAUGAAGCCUUAGCUUGCUUUGGUGGAUUAGUGGCGAACGGGUGAGUAACACGUGAGCAACGUGCCCAGGACUCUGGAAUAACCGCGGGAAACCGUGCUAAUACCGGAUAGGUGCCGAGGCCGCAUGGUCUUCGGUUGGAAAGUUUUUGCGGUUCUGGAUCGGCUCACGGCCUAUCAGCUUGUUGGUGGGGUAAUGGCCUACCAAGGCGACGACGGGUAGCCGGCCUGAGAGGGUGACCGGCCACACUGGGACUGAGACACGGCCCAGACUCCUACGGGAGGCAGCAGUGGGGAAUAUUGCACAAUGGGCGCAAGUCUGAUGCAGCAACGCCGCGUGGGGGAUGACGGCCUUCGGGUUGUAAACCUCUUUUAGUAGGGAAGAAGCGCAAGUGACGGUACCUGCAGAAAAAGCACCGGCUAACUACGUG